Molecule: ribosomal RNA, 1324 nt
Filed under: metagenome
Description: bacterial LSU rRNA
Rfam family: Bacterial large subunit ribosomal RNA
Source: RNAcentral
AGUGGAUGGGGGGCAACCUAGUUGUGCGUGUGUAAAGGUAGUGCCAAGAAAAGCGGUGAUCAUGAUGAAAAUCAAUUCCCGGUACCCGAAACCGACACAGGUGGGCAGGUAGAGAAUACUAAGGGGCGCGAGGUAACUCUCUCCAAGGAACUCGGCAAAAUGACCCCGUAACUUAGGGAGAAGGGGUGCCACCGAGAGGUGGUCGCAGUGAAGAGGCCCAGGCGACUGUUUAGCAAAAACAUAGGUCUCUGCAAACUCGAAAGAGGAGGUAUAGGGGCUGACGCCUGCCCAGUGCCGGAAGGUUAAAGAAGUUGGUCAGUCUUAGGAUAAAGCUAGCGACUGAAGCCCCGGUGAACGGCGGCCGUAACUAUAACGAUCCUAAGGUAGCGAAAUUCCUUGUCGGGUAAGUUCCGACCCGCACGAAAGGCGUAACGAUCUGGGCGCUGUCUCGGAGAGAGGCUCGGCGAAAUAGGAUUGUCUGUGAAGAUACGGACUACCUGCAUUUGGACAGAAAGACCCUAUGAAGCUUUACUAUAGCUUGGAAUUGUGUUCGGGCUUCCUGUGCGCAGGAUAGGUGGGAGGCGAAGAAGGUAUUCUUGUGGGGAUACUGGAGCCAACGGUGAGAUACCACUCUCAGGAGGCUAGAAUUCUAACUUAAUUAAGGACAGUUUCAGGUGGGUAGUUUGACUGGGGCGGUCGCCUCCAAAAAGGUAACGGAGGCGUACAAAGGUUCCCUCAGACUGGUUGGAAAUCAGUCGCAGAGUGCAAAGGCAGAAGGGAGCUUGACUGCGAGAAGUACAGUUCGAGCAGGGUGGAAACACGGUCUUAGUGAUCCGACGGUGCUGUGUGGAAGGGCCGUCGCUCAACGGAUAAAAGUUACUCUAGGAUAACAGGCUGAUCUCCCCCAAGAGUUCACAUCGACGGGGAGGUUUGGCACCUCGAUGUCGGCUCAUCGCAACCUGGGGCGGAAGUACGUCCCAAGGGUUGGGCUGUUCGCCCAUUAAAGCGGUACGUGAGCUGGGUUCAGAACGUCGUGAGACAGUUCGGUCCAUAUCCGAUGUAGGCGUGAGAAUAUUGAGAGGAGCCUUCCUUAGUACGAGAGGACCGGGAAGGACGCACCGCUGGUGUACCUGUUAUGAUGCCAAUUGUAAACGCAGGGUAGCCAAGUGCGGAGAGGAUAACCGCUGAAAGCAUCUAAGUGGGAAGCCCACCUCAAGAUGAGUAUUCUGGUGUAAGGUCACGGGAAGAUGACCCGUAAAUAGGCACGAGGUGGAAGUGCAGAGAUGUAUGAAGCCGAAGUGUACUAAUAGACCGUCGGCUUGAC